Paraglaciecola sp. is the source of this 2875-nucleotide ribosomal RNA. It matches the Rfam family "Bacterial large subunit ribosomal RNA". The record is from Rfam. NCBI's taxonomy places the organism in Bacteria, Pseudomonadati, Pseudomonadota, Gammaproteobacteria, Alteromonadales, Alteromonadaceae.
GGUUAAGUGACUAAGCGUAUACGGUGGAUGCCUAGGCAGUUAGAGGCGAUGAAGGACGUGUAAGUCUGCGAAAAGCUGUGGGGAGCCGACAAAAUGCUUUGAUCCACAGAUAUCCGAAUGGGGGAACCCAAUCCUUAGGGAUUAUCAUUAACUGAAUACAUAGGUUAAUGAAGCUAACGAGGGGAACUGAAACAUCUAAGUACCCUUAGGAAAAGAAAUCAAUUGAGAUUCCCCUAGUAGCGGCGAGCGAACGGGGAACAGCCGAGUGUUUAUGGGUUAGCAGAACAAGCUGGAAAGCUUGACGAUACAGGGUGAUAGUCCCGUAUGUGAAGAACCAUAGAUGCCAUAUUAAGUAGGUCGGGACACGUGUUAUCUUGACUGAAGAUGGGGGGACCAUCCUCCAAGGCUAAAUACUCCUAACUGACCGAUAGUGAACCAGUACCGUGAGGGAAAGGCGAAAAGAACCCCAGUGAGGGGAGUGAAAUAGAACCUGAAACCGUAUACGUACAAGCAGUAGGAGCAGACUUGUUCUGUGACUGCGUACCUUUUGUAUAAUGGGUCAGCGACUUAUAUUUAGUAGCAAGGUUAACCGAAUAGGGGAGCCGUAGCGAAAGCGAGUGUUAACUGCGCGUUGAGUUGCUAGGUAUAGACCCGAAACCCGGUGAUCUAGCCAUGGGCAGGUUGAAGGUUGAGUAACAUCAACUGGAGGACCGAACCGACUAAUGUUGAAAAAUUAGCGGAUGACUUGUGGCUGGGGGUGAAAGGCCAAUCAAACCGGGAGAUAGCUGGUUCUCCCCGAAAGCUAUUUAGGUAGCGCCUCGGACGAAUACCACAGGGGGUAGAGCACUGUUAAGGCUAGGGGGUCAUCCCGACUUACCAACCCUUUGCAAACUCCGAAUACCUGUGAGUACUAUCCGGGAGACACACGGCGGGUGCUAACGUCCGUCGUGAAGAGGGAAACAACCCAGACCGCCAGCUAAGGUCCCAAAGUCAUAGUUAAGUGGGAAACGAUGUGGGAAGGCUAAGACAGCUAGGAGGUUGGCUUAGAAGCAGCCACCCUUUAAAGAAAGCGUAAUAGCUCACUAGUCGAGUCGGCCUGCGCGGAAGAUGUAACGGGGCUAAACUAUGCACCGAAGCUGCGGAUUCAUCUUAGGAUGAGUGGUAGGGGAGCGUUGUGUAAGUGGCUGAAGGUGAACCGAGAGGUUUGCUGGACAUAUCACAAGUGCGAAUGCUGACAUGAGUAACGAUAAUGGGGGUGAAAAACCCCCACGCCGGAAGACCAAGGUUUCCUGUCCCAUGCUAAUCAGGGCAGGGUAAGUCGGCCCCUAAGGCGAGGCAGAAAUGCGUAGUCGAUGGGAAACAGAUUAAUAUUUCUGUACUUAUAUAUUCAGUGAUGGGGGGACGGAGAAAGUUAUGCAAGCCUGGCGUUGGUUGUCCAGGUGAAAAUGCGUAGGCUGGCGACUUAGGUAAAUCCGGGUUGCUAAGGCCGAGACAUGAGACGAGUCACUACGGUGACGAAGUUGCAAAUACUCUGCUUCCAGGAAAAGCCUCUAAACUUAUGAAUAUAUGAACCGUACCCCAAACCGACACAGGUGGUCAGGUAGAGAAUACUAAGGCGCUUGAGAGAACUCGGGUGAAGGAACUCGGCAAAAUCGUACCGUAACUUCGGGAGAAGGUACGCCGCUUAUUGUGAUGGACUUUACGUCCUAAGCGAUGGGCGGCCGCAGUGAAAAGGUGGCUGGAACUGUUUAUUAAAAACACAGCACUGUGCUAAAUCGAAAGAUGACGUAUACGGUGUGACGCCUGCCCGGUGCCGGAAGGUUAAUUGAUGGGGUUAGCGCAAGCGAAGCUCUUGAUCGAAGCCCCGGUAAACGGCGGCCGUAACUAUAACGGUCCUAAGGUAGCGAAAUUCCUUGUCGGGUAAGUUCCGACCUGCACGAAUGGCGUAAUCAUGGCCACGCUGUCUCCACCCGAGACUCAGUGAAAUUGAAAUCGCAGUGAAGAUGCUGUGUACCCGCACCUAGACGGAAAGACCCCGUGAACCUUUACUAUAGCUUGGCACUGAACAUUGACCCUACAUGUGUAGGAUAGGUGGGAGACAUUGAAGAUGAGACGCCAGUCUUGUUGGAGUCGUCCUUGAAAUACCACCCUUGUAGGUUUGAUGUUCUAACAUUGGUCCCUUAUCGGGAUUGUGGACAGUGUCUGGUGGGUAGUUUGACUGGGGCGGUCUCCUCCCAAAGCGUAACGGAGGAGCACGAAGGUUGGCUAAUCCUGGUCGGACAUCAGGAGGUUAGUGCAAUGGCAUAAGCCAGCUUAACUGCGAGACAGACACGUCGAGCAGGUACGAAAGUAGGUCAUAGUGAUCCGGUGGUUCUGAAUGGAAGGGCCAUCGCUCAACGGAUAAAAGGUACUCCGGGGAUAACAGGCUGAUACCGCCCAAGAGUUCAUAUCGACGGCGGUGUUUGGCACCUCGAUGUCGGCUCAUCACAUCCUGGGGCUGAAGUCGGUCCCAAGGGUAUGGCUGUUCGCCAUUUAAAGUGGUACGCGAGCUGGGUUUAGAACGUCGUGAGACAGUUCGGUCCCUAUCUGGUGUGGGCGUUGGAUGAUUGAGGGGAGCUGCUCCUAGUACGAGAGGACCGGAGUGGACGAACCGCUGGUGUUCGGGUUGUCAUGCCAAUGGCAUUGCCCGGUAGCUACGUUCGGAAUCGAUAACCGCUGAAAGCAUCUAAGCGGGAAGCGAGCCCCAAGAUGAGUCAUCCCUGGCAAUUUAAUUGUCCUAAAGGGUUGUUGAAGACUACGACGUUGAUAGGCAGGGUGUGGAAGUGUCGUAAGGCAUUAAGCUAACCUGUACUAAUUGCCCGUGAGACUUAACCAU